UUCUUGGAGUCCAGCGCCAGAGUGUGUGCGGCGGCCAACAUCUGUCUCUGGCACUCCUCCUUUAGUGUCGUCACCCAGUUCUGCUGGGCCAGUCUCAUCUUAUUGAUCAGCUCCUCUAAGUCCUUGUUCAGGAGCUUCUUUGUGCCCGCGAUCUGAGACAGAUGUGUGACGUGAUACCUCGCUGGCACAUGAGUUGUGCAGAACGGGCAGGACGUCAUCAACGCUUUGGAUCAGGCUCCGCAGAGUGGCGCCAAUCGCCUGGAUGGCGAGCAGGGGAGAGUCACGGUUGGUGGACGUCAAUGUGAGAAGACACAAAUCUUACUUUGACGGCGUUGGGAUACUCGGAGACUGGAAGCGUGUUGACCUCAUUCUUCAGCUGGACCACCUGUCUGACCGUCGCCAUGACACCAGAGUACACCUGAUCACCUGAUCGGUCCAGCUCAGCUGUGGGACGAGACUGGAACACAGCAUUUCUGUUCUAAUUGUCUGCAUGGUCAUUAAAAUAUAGGGGUUGUCUAAACAUCUUA
Nerophis lumbriciformis (worm pipefish) is the source of this 527-nucleotide long non-coding RNA. RefSeq lists it as uncharacterized. The record is from RefSeq and is a predicted model, not a curated record. Lineage: Eukaryota; Metazoa; Chordata; Actinopteri; Syngnathiformes; Syngnathidae.